Dromaius novaehollandiae (emu) is the source of this 395-nucleotide long non-coding RNA. RefSeq lists it as uncharacterized. The transcript has 3 exons. The record is from RefSeq and is a predicted model, not a curated record. Lineage: Eukaryota; Metazoa; Chordata; Aves; Casuariiformes; Dromaiidae.
CAGGCGGUGGAGGGGCUGGGGGGAGCCGGGACCCCCCCCACGCCGCCGCGACCCCCCCACGCCGCCGCCGCUGCUGCCAGGCCCCCGCCGCGACGAUGCUGCCGGGCCUCAAGGGCCCGUGGCUGGCCUUCCACGGCGGCGUCUUCGUGGGCUUCGCCGCCACCUUCUACCUCCUCCACGGCGUCCUGCUGCCGGCGCCGCCGGUCCCCCGGGCCCCCCAGGCGGGCGAGGACCCCGCGGCGGCCGCCCGGAGCCCCGGGCUCGCCAGCGCCGCCAGCCCGCGCUCCGCAGGGGAGGACCGCAGCGUGGCGGAGGAGCUGCGGCAGCGCGUGCGCAUCCUGUGCUGGGUGAUGACGGGGCCCCGCACGCUGCACACCAGGGCCCGGCACGUGCGG